UUGCUGUGGAGCAAAGUUAAGGUUGCUUGACUCUUAGGCACUUCUUUGGCCAUGACCUCCUGCUUCUGGUUCUCCUGAUAAAAUGCUGGAGGCUCAGUCCAAGGUAACCAGCAAGAAGUGGGCUCAGGAGGACAGAGCUCUGGCUUCCCAAUUGCAUGUUCGUUCACAGGCUCCUACCUCUGCCAUUGCAGGUUCCUUGACUUUGGCCUUCAGUCCUGACUUAAUUUCUUUGCUUAUGGGUAAAACAAGGAAUUCCUGUCACACUGCCAACAUCACCCCCUUUCUUCUCACCCCAAGGAGAGUGCAGAGAGGAGGCGAGACCAAGCCUGCCCAGAGUUGGAGUCUUGAGACGUGAGAUUCUCCAGCUGGAGCCCUAUAAAUUGGACUGACAAAAGACAGAUUAGCAAGAGAAAUGCAAGCAGCAGUUUAUUAACAUGUGCAUCAUGAUUACACAUGGAAGUACCCAGAGGCAGAAUUAAAGAUUCAAGAUGUACCUACUUCUUCCGGGGACAACAUUCAUGAUUCUUAAAGAUUUCACAAGUGUACCUUCUAAGGGUAAGUGGCUGGAAGUAGUAAGAGGUCAAUGCCAAGUGAAAUCCUCUGGCGUUUUCUUCUGACAACCAGGAGUCUGCAAAGUGUUUCACACAGCAAAGCCCAGGAGCACAGGUCUUGCAGCCUCUGGAUAACCAACUCGUCUCUCACCAGUGGUUCAAAAAAGCCCAUGCUAUCCUCAUCCAAAUAAACUUAUGAAAUGCUUUACCAAAUGAUUUGUUCAGAACAGUGAAUACUAGACACAACUUUGUGUGGAACAAGAGGAGAUCCAGUAAUGACAAUACAUCUUUUGUUAGAAAGACUUACAAAGGCUGUGACAUUCUUCUUUGAAGUGUUGUCAUUGUGUUGGAUGGGAUGAAGUGGUUCUAGGACACACAAAAAAGGAUCAAGAACAUCUGAGAAGACUACAGAUAAGUCCUUACUGCUGAUUUUGGACACAGGUCAGCCAUAUGAAGAUUCAGAUGAGCAGUCUGUGCUUCCUUUGCCUUAUCUCUCAAGAGCUGAGACCUUAUUUCUAUUCCACCUUGAACAAUUUUGUUUGAGUACAACAUAUUUACUGAUAUGGUCAGCUCAAGUCAUUGUGGAAUGAAUACUUAGAUGCUGCGUUCUUCCAAAAACUGAGCAGAACCUCCCUUCUGUGAACAUUUUCAAUAGGUUGUUUUCAAGGUGAGAAAGUGGGAGGGAGAAGGGGAUGAGCAUUGAAGUAAAUAUUUUUUUCUUCUUCUACUUUUGCUACUGGGAAUGUUCCUAUCCAGGAAGGCAGGUCCCCUUUUAUUUUAUCAGAUGCAGAGGAGUUAUCGUACCUCUGUUACCAAUUCUUUAUCCAUAAUUUAUGUUAGUAACAAGGGACCUGUUGCUAGCAGUUACUGAUGAAAACAAAAGCUGGUGGCUUUCUGGAAGAAGGGGGCGUGUGAUCUCAAGAGAGUUGCAUCAUGGCCAUACUCCUCUAAGUUUCUAAUUUUUUUUCCUUUUUUUUUUUUUUUGAGACAGAGUCUCAUUCUGUUGCCCAAAGUGGAGUGCAGUGGCUCGAUUUCAGCUCACUGCAACUUCCGCCUCCCGGGUUCAAGCAACUCUCCUGCCUCAGCCUCCCGAGUAACUGUGACUACAGGCCCGUGCCACUAUGCCUGGCUAAUUUUUGUAUUUUUUGUACAGACAGGGUUUUUCUAUAUUGAGCACGCUGGUCUCAAACUCCUGACUUCAGGGGAUCUGCCUGCCUCGGCCUCCCCAAGUGCUGGGAUUACAGGCAUGAGCCACCACGCCUGGCUUCUAAUUGUCUUUUUAAAAGCCUUUUCCCCUUUUGUGUGUGUGAGUUAUCUUCACUCUCACUGGCCACCAAUAACAAAAAAAAAAAAAAAAGAAAAGAAAUAAAGAAGUGGGAGAUGUUUAGAACAUUUCUGUGAUGUCAAGGCAGAUCCAGUAAUUAAAGUUUUCCCUUCUUCCUAUCUCGAUUUGAUCCCAAUGCACAUUUUUUUUUAGGUAAGUAACUUCAGAUUUCCUAAUCCACUAUAGCAUUUAAUUCUCAGGCUGUUAAUGGAGUAGAAGUCAUUCCUGUGGCUGGCAUAUCUGAACUGCCUGCAUAUCAAUAUCUGUUGAGACAUAGCACCAAAUAAUCAUUCGAAGCCCAGAAGUGAAUAAGAACAAUCCAUUCACGCGUGGGACAUUUAUUGGAUAUCGUCUAUUUUAAAAACAUUGGCUCAUCACUCUGGGAUAUGAAUAAAAAAUUAGAGGAGAAAAGAUGAAUAUAAAAACAUAUGGUAACUGAAGAAGGACUGAAGAGCUGAUGGCAAGGAUUCUGUCUCAGGUGUUUCCAAAGGCAGAGAGAGUCUACGAGUCAAUUCCAAAGACAUGUGUUCUCCCUUCCUCCAAUUCAGCUACCACCAAGGCUCCACCUGGCCCUUUAGGGACUCACGCUCCACUUACAUUUCUGGGAGGAGAACAAAACUGGUUCUUCCUUAGGAACCAAAACAGUAACAUGGGCCCUGUGCUGAUCUGAAAGGUAUUUUUAUUUAAGGAAAAGACUUGGCUUUUUUCAUGUUAAGGUUAAAUAUUUUCUCUGGGGACUGUGAUGAACACCUCCUGAAAAGUAAAAAUCUAACGGUGUGUGUGUGUGUGUGUGUGUGUGUGUGUGUGUGUGUAGGUGUGUAGGACGUUUUCUCUAGAAUUCUAAAAUUUCUUUUCUUAGGUAAUAAUUUUCACAUUUGCUAAGUUCUGAAUGAAUCUAAACUAUUUUGCUUUGAGUUUGUCUUCCUAUUACUAAUCCAUUUUCUGCUCUAGAAGAUUUUGAAGAUAAGGUAGGUUUUGAACUUAGCCCACUGACUGCCAAGCAAUAGUCAUUUACAUGGAAAGCAAAAAAAAGAAGUUAUUGGCAUCAGAAUUGACUCAGUCAUUAAAAUAUUCCACACCUAGAUUUCUCAAAGAACUAAAAACAAAACUACUAUGUGACCCAAUCUCACUACUGGGGAUACACCCAAAGAGAAAGAAGUCAUUAUAUCAAAAAGAUGUCUGUACUCAAAUGUUUAUCACAACGCUGUUCACAAUAGCAAAGACAUGGAAGCAACUGAAGUGUUCAUCAGUGGAGGACUGGAUAAAGGAAAUGGGAUAGACUAUUCACCAUGGAAUACUUGUCCAUCCAUAGAAAAGAACAAAAUCAUGUCUUUUGCAGCAGCAUGGAUGGAACCGGAGGCCAUCGUCCUAAGUGAAAUAACUCAGAAACAGAAAGUCAAAUACCACAUGUUCUCACUUAUAAGUGAGAGCUAAACAAUGAGUACACAUGGACAUACACAGUGAGUGGAAUAAUAGACGCUGGAGUCUACAGAAGAUGGGAAGGUGGGAGGGGCUUGACAAUCGGAAAGUUACCCAUUGGGUACCAUGUUCUCUAUUCGGGUCAUAAGUUCACUAAAAGCCCAGACUUUACGUCUAUGCAAUAUAUGCCUGUAAGAAAUCCACACUUGUACUCCCUAAAGGUAUAAAAAUUAAAACUAAAUAAAUAAAUAAUUAAAUAAUCCAUACCUAAACCAUUUGCAGUGGAAGAUUUUUGCACAGUUUUAUUUUCUCGGGGUCAUUUCCUACCCUGAGUUUUGGCCAUCUGCAUAUGGUUAUGGAAUUACUGUCUCUUAGGAUGCUCUUUACUCUUUCCUGAGCUGGUGAAACCUAGGGGAAUCACUAGAAUAAACUUCACUCUCUAUUUAUGCGGAUUUGCUUCACAGGGAAUCCUUUGUAUCAACUGAGUCACUGCCAUCAAAAUAUCCAUGAGAAGUUCACAUAACCUCAUUUCCCUCUGUUAAUGUUACUGAGUAAAGCACAAGACAGGAAUAUUCUUAGAGGAUAUAUGGCUUCCUCUUAAUCAGAGCUGGCUUAGAGUGGAGAAACAGGGUCCCUGGGGACAAAGCAAGGCACUCAUGAACUCUGGCCACUGUAAGACAAACAAUGGGGAGACCUUAUUCUUAAUUUAGAUUCUAAGCAAAGGUUUUCCUGGUGACCUAGUUCCUCUGGAGCAAUCGCACUGCUCCAGUGAUGUUUUAGCGACUUGCCCUGGUACCCUGAGUUCCCACCUUGCCGCUCGUCUCACAUUUUCUUUCAGGAUAUCUGGAUUUUUCCUCUGAUUUACACAUUUCCUCUAUAAUUCUGCACAAUACCAAAAAUAAAUAUAAUUUCCUUCCUCUUAAAACUCAAUAACCAUUAGGCUAGAAGAAGAGGUACCAUUUGGCAAAAAAAAAAAAAAAAAACUCUCCAUAUCACAUCCUGCCUAGCGGUAACCUCAAACUUGAUCUCACAGUGAGGACAGCCUGAUUUUUCUCAUGCUUAGGAAAUCACCAAGCCAUGGUAACACUUUCCUGGAUGUAGCUAUUGUAGCGUACUGGGGCCCCUGAGCCAUGCAGGGUCACACAGUUUGUCUGGGGUGAGAGGUCUCAUUCAAAAUGCAUUACACCAAAUUUUCCUUUCAAUGAAGUUUUGGCUGUACCACCUCCACUGCCCCACCUGUAAAAAGAGGAAACUUCUCUUAUAAGAGAAUGAGAAAAGAGGGAAGAAGGAGGAGUGUCCAGAUGGAUAGAAGGGGAGGGGAAGGUGGUUUCUUUUUUUCUUUUCCUUUUUUUUUUUUUUUUGAGAUGGAGUCUCACUCUCUCACUCAGGCUGGACUGCAGUGGUGGUAUCACUGCAACCUCCGCCUCCCAGGUUCAAGCGAUUCUCUUGCCUCAGCCUCCCAGGUAGCUGGGAACUAAAGGCGCACGCCACCACGCCCAGCUAAGAUUUUUGUAUUUUUAGUACAGGUGGUGUUUCACCAUGUUGGCCAGGCUGGACUUGAACUCCUGACCUCAGGUGAUCUGCCCGCCUCGGCCUCCCAAAGUGCUGGGAUUACAGGCGUGAGCCACCGCACCCAGCCCCGGAAGGUGGUUCUAUAAAGACCUGGCCUUCCUCCGGCUCUCAUCUGCCGAUAGUCUAGAAGAGCAGAUUCUGGGAGGCCUGAUUCUACAGCUGCCCACGGAUGUUUAGAGGCACUGACGCACCAGCUUUCCUCUACCAAGGAAGAUCCCUUAAAUCACCCACAACGAACAGUGCAUCAUCUUUCAAUGGAGGCAAUUCAGCCCGUUUUUCCCAUUAUUGGAACAUAUCUCUGCUUCUCUUCCUGAGCACUAAAGUAGUUGGCAUGCAUUUAGGAGCCAUGUUGUGUGAAAAAUAUGGCUCACCAUGUAGUUGGAUGUGAGUAAGUUGGAUGUGACUGGGAUCUGUCUCCACUGUAAUGCAAAAGGUAUGGGCAUUCUCCCGCCUGGUCCUUGAGAUCCCUGGCGGAAUAUCUGUGAUCUUCUAAAUUUAAUAUAGUUACAGGGUAAUUGACAGGCAGGACUACACUUCCCUUCUUCCCCAGGAAAUGCCUGUAUUCAUUCUAUGUUAAAUUUGUUUGAUUUCAAAGAUCCACUGGGUAAUUCAUGGCUUCCUGCUCUUUCCCUUACCCAAAUGCCUUCCCACUCUAUUUAUGAGUCCAGAACAGGUCAACAUUUGAGGACCUAGUAAAUCAAGUUGAGUUUGGAUUUCCGUUGCAAUUUUGUGACUUCCUAUAUGAGCACUUUAUUAUCACAGAGAAGGAAGUCUGGGGAGCAGGACAGAGAUAGUUCAGAGAAGUCUCCACUAAUAUUUAUAAAGACAUUAUGUAAAAGCAUUCUCCCCAGCCCCCACAUCUCCCCUUUUUUUAACACCCAGAAUUCCAAAAGAAUGAGCAUUAUUUUCAUUGAUUGCUGCCACAAGCAAGAAGAAUAGGGCCAAUCUAUAUUUUCCCCCACAAAAUUUGGAGAGGCAUGAUAUAUAGAGAGAAGCCUAAAGGAAAAAAAUACAUGCAAGUAUAAUAGAAUGGUGUUUGCUUAUUGUGAUUUGUUAAUAUAUGUUCCUUGAACUGAACUAGAUAAAAGUAAAUAAAUACUAUGAAGAUUUGUCUUGUGCCAGUAUGCUUAAAAAGGAAUUUUAUUUCAUCCUUCCUGUCAUCUUGCAACAUUUCCAAAUAUUAAUUUAAAAAUUUCAUAAUUCCAAUAUAUAUUUUGCAUCAGGAUAAGGCAUAUUGUGUUGAAAAAAUUGUCACAAUUUUCUUUCCUUUUUUAGAGACAGAGCCCACUGUGUUGCCCAGGCUGGCCUCAAACUCCUGGGGUGAAGGAAUCCUCCCACCUCAGCCUCCCAAGUAGCUAGGACUAUUGGUGUGCACCAUCAAGCCCGCCAUCACAAUUUUCUAAUCCAUUCCCAGGCUGAUAUAAUUAUUGAACCUGAAAGAGUAAAUACAGAUAGGUGACAAAAUCAAAAUUGGAGGUUAAGCUUGUCUUGUCCAGUCCAGAUCCUGCUUUCAAACAAGAUUUGGGAUAUUGUCUCAGAGAAUUCCCAACAAAUAUAGAAUGAAAUAAAAUCCAUAUGAGAGAAACAAAUAAAGAGCUGUGGGAAAGCAAAGGAGGAGGUGGUCAGGUCUGUGAGAAAGUUCUGAGAACACUUUCACAGAGAAGAUAAUAGUGGAGCAAGAGGCAUGGACCCCACUGGUUCUGCCUUACAUGGUACCAGAAGCAGCCUAGCUUAACAGUUAGUAGAUUCUCAAUAAGAAGUUGUUGAAUUUAUAAUGGAAGGAAAGAUGAAGAGAAAAGAGCUAAAGUUAUACCCUUAGAAAAUACCUAUAUCUAGAGGGCAAAAGAAAGAAAAGGAAGACGACAAGAAGAGGAAGUAAACAGAAAACUAUGCAAUGUAUGAAGGGAUGUCAAAGAGAAU
Homo sapiens (human) is the source of this 6786-nucleotide long non-coding RNA. RefSeq lists it as uncharacterized. The transcript has 6 exons. The record is from RefSeq and is a predicted model, not a curated record. NCBI's taxonomy places the organism in Eukaryota, Metazoa, Chordata, Mammalia, Primates, Hominidae.